This 748-nucleotide long non-coding RNA is filed under the name Marmota monax (woodchuck). The record is from RNAcentral. Lineage: Eukaryota; Metazoa; Chordata; Mammalia; Rodentia; Sciuridae.
GUCAAAUUUUGAUAUCUACAAUUAACUAAGUCUAAUGUUAUUCAAAAAUUCUACCUUGCUCCUCAAUAAUAUAAAGACCUGCAAAGAAUUUCCAGUAGAACUCUCCCUCUAUCUUCCAUAUUAUUAGGUAAUAUUGUAAUUCCCUUAAACUUCUCCAAGUUAGUAAUCCUCACAGUCAAUAUUUAUUCAGAUUUCCCGAUUGCUUUAUUAAUUCCUUUGCUCACCCUUGUUCCUUAUAUCACACUUCAUUACUAGUUCAAUUUCUUUUUACCAAAGUGCAUCAUUUUGGUAUAUUUCAGCAAGGUCUGUGAAUACUAAAUGCAUGGACUUGCAUUCUAAGAAUAUCUUGGUUUCUCUCUCACCCUCGAGUGAUAAUUUAGCUGGACUAGAAUCUUCAUAUUGACAGCUUUCUUUCCUCAGUGUUUCAAGGUACUCUCUACCUUCUCCACCAACUACUGUACUAAUGAGAAACACAUUCCCAGUCUGGUUUCUGUCCUCAGUUGGCUAUCUUUUUCUCAUGCAGCUUUUACAUUUUUAUUUGACUUGUUCUUACAUAUUACAAACCACAUGUGUGGAUUUACUGUUAUUUCUCAUUAUUGAGGCUGAUGCAACAAAAAGAUUCAUGUCCCAUUUCAAUUUUUGAAAAGUCUUGACUAUUGUCAUUUGAAUAGUGACUCCUUUUCAUUGUUCUUUUUCUUCUUUGCUUCCUGAAUAUGCUGUCCCUUUUCAAUCCACCCUGUCUCUUAAC